Molecule: transfer-messenger RNA, 404 nt
Filed under: uncultured Mycoplasma sp.
Lineage: Bacteria; Bacillati; Mycoplasmatota; Mollicutes; Mycoplasmatales; Mycoplasmataceae
Rfam family: transfer-messenger RNA
About the family: Bacterial tmRNA, also known as 10Sa RNA or SsrA, is named for its dual tRNA and mRNA-like properties. Its role is to liberate the mRNA from a stalled ribosome.
Source: RNAcentral
GGGGAUGUCACGGCUUCGACAUGAAUUUACAACAUUUAAGUGCAGUGGGGUCAGCCCCUUAUAGCUCUAGGUUCAAUUUAACUGCAGACGAACAAAACAAUAAAGCUGAAUUAAAUUCAUUUGAAAUUAAUCAACUAAUGUCAAACAAUCAAGCAAACUUUGCUUUCGCUUAAUUCUUAAACAUUAAAUUUAUAAAGAAAUAAAAUUUCUAUUAUUUUAUUUCUUCGUUUUUAAAUAGAUAGUUAUUAAUAUCUUGUCUAAGUAUUAAUGAUGAACUGCAUUAGACAAACUUUUAAACCUUAGUUGUACUACUCUAUAUUUAAAAGUACUUAAGUAGUACUAAACUGUAGACCUUAUUUGAAAUAAAUUUGUGGAAACGGGUUCAACUCCCGUCAUCUCCACCA